UGCAGUGCUCAGCAGAGGCGCGAAUGCAAGC
RNAcentral lists this non-coding RNA (31 nucleotides) under Mus musculus (house mouse). Lineage: Eukaryota; Metazoa; Chordata; Mammalia; Rodentia; Muridae. The record is from RNAcentral.